GUGCUCACUUAGCAGCACAUAUACUACAAUUGGAACGAUAUAGAGAAGAUUAGCAUGGCCCCUGCACAAGGAUGACAUGCAAGUUUGUGAAGCUUUCCAUAAAAAA
This is a small nuclear RNA of Manis pentadactyla (Chinese pangolin), 106 nucleotides long. Lineage: Eukaryota; Metazoa; Chordata; Mammalia; Pholidota; Manidae. The record is from RefSeq and is a predicted model, not a curated record.